GUGGGGCAGGGUGGCCUGGAGUGGGGGUGGGUAGUCAGUCAGGAAUGAGAGGUGGCUUUUUAUUCAUGAAGAAGAAAAUUCCCAGGGAACAGGAUGGCAAACGAGAAGGAAGGCUAUUGUGUAUGAGUGUACAGGUUGUACUCUGCACACUGGGGUUUGGAAGAGGAGACACACCAUAUAUAUUCCCCAAGUCAUGAAAGAAAUAAAGAAAAGACAAAGAUAACCUAGGUCAAACAAUGAAAGAACCAAAAAUGGAAAGAGGAAGAAAGUACAUGAAGUCGUGAAACAAAAUCCUGAAGAGUUUUCUGAGACUCGAAUGAGAUUAAAAGGCAUGAAGAACUCCAGAAAUGCAGGCUGCAAUAAUUAUUACUCUGAUCGUCAAUAGAAUCCAGAAUGCAACCAUCCAGAAGGGCAGGCUUUGGCUGCAGUGUUGCAGGGAGCGCCAGAUUGCAAGCCAAAAGAAAUGGAGAUGUAGGAAGGAUGCUACCACGGGGAGGCGGGUGUUCUCUGGAUGCAGAAGAUGAUAUACAGUCAUCAGUUACACACAAAUGUCAGGGAUUCUUCACUCAAAAGAAAGGAGAAAGCCACCACUUUGAAAGAAAGGAAAUAGUCAAUAUAUUUGACAACCUGUAUGGAAUGGACCUGACCAAUGGGAACAGUGACACGAGCUGAAAUUCACUUCAGCUUUUGGGGUUGCUGCCACACUUGGGUAGAGACCUAAAGAUCAACUUUUCUUUAACCUGCAUCAUUAAUCGUAUAAACCUUCCAGCUCACAGGUAUC
This 781-nucleotide long non-coding RNA is filed under the name Homo sapiens (human). RNAcentral describes it as "ADGRF5 antisense RNA 1". The record is from RNAcentral. Lineage: Eukaryota; Metazoa; Chordata; Mammalia; Primates; Hominidae.